CGUAGGGUGCGAGCGUUAAUCGGAAUUACUGGGCGUAAAGCGUGCGCAGGCGGUUUAGUAAGGCAGGCGUGAAAUCCCCGGGCUCAACCUGGGAACUGCGCUUGUGACUGCUAAGCUAGAGUACGGCAGAGGGGGGUGGAAUUCCACGUGUAGCAGUGAAAUGCGUAGAGAUGUGGAGGAACACCAAUGGCGAAGGCAGCCCCCUGGGUCGAUACUGACGCUCAUGCACGAAAGCGUGGGUAGCAAACAGGAUUAGAUACCCUGGUAGUCCACGCCCUAAACGAUGUCAACUAGGUGUUGGGAGGGUAAAACCUUUUAGUACCGGAGCUAACGCGUGAAGUUGACCGCCUGGGGAGUACGGCCGCAAGGUUA
Molecule: ribosomal RNA, 372 nt
Filed under: uncultured organism
Description: bacterial SSU rRNA
Rfam family: Bacterial small subunit ribosomal RNA
Source: RNAcentral